AACGUAGGACGCAAGCGUUAUCCGGAGUUACUGGGCGUAAAGCGCGCGCAGGCGGCUCGACAAGUUCGCUGUGAAAGCUCCCGGCUCAACCGGGCGAGGCCAGUGGAAACUAUCGAGCUGGAGGGCAGUAGAGGCAGGCGGAAUUCCGGGUGGAGUGGUGAAAUGCGUAGAGAUCCACAGGAACUCCGGUGGCGAAGGCGGCGUGCUGGACCCCAUCUGACGCUGAGGCGCGAAAGCCAGGGGAGCGAACGGG
RNAcentral lists this ribosomal RNA (253 nucleotides) under uncultured bacterium. Its description in RNAcentral is "partial 16S ribosomal RNA". It matches the Rfam family "Bacterial small subunit ribosomal RNA", at positions 524 to 776 of the family's 1533-position model. The record is from RNAcentral.